RNAcentral lists this ribosomal RNA (491 nucleotides) under uncultured bacterium. Its description in RNAcentral is "bacterial SSU rRNA". It matches the Rfam family "Bacterial small subunit ribosomal RNA", at positions 1037 to 1529 of the family's 1533-position model. The record is from RNAcentral.
GGUGGUGCAUGGUUGUCGUCAGCUCGUGUCGUGAGAUGUUGGGUUAAGUCCCGCAACGAGCGCAACCCUUAUUGUUAGUUGCCAGCAUUAAGUUGGGCACUCUAGCAAGACUGCCGGUGACAAACCGGAGGAAGGUGGGGAUGACGUCAAAUCAUCAUGCCCCUUAUGACCUGGGCUACACACGUGCUACAAUGGACGGUACAACGAGUCGCAAGACCGCGAGGUUUAGCAAAUCUCUUAAAGCCGUUCUCAGUUCGGAUUGUAGGCUGCAACUCGCCUACAUGAAGUCGGAAUCGCUAGUAAUCGCGGAUCAGCAUGCCGCGGUGAAUACGUUCCCGGGCCUUGUACACACCGCCCGUCACACCAUGAGAGUUUGUAACACCCAAAGCCGGUGGGGUAACCUUUUGGAGCCAGCCGUCUAAGGUGGGAUAGAUGAUUAGGGUGAAGUCGUAACAAGGUAGCCGUAGGAGAACCUGCGGCUGGAUCACCUC